ACGUGGCCAGCGCAGGCCGCCUUGGAGCCGGAUGGACCCCACGGAAAAUGCUCUGCCGGCGAAAGCGGCUGGCAAUGGGGUUGAUUUCAAGGCAGGGAAGAGCCAUCGCGCUGCCCUCCUCGGCUGGGAUGGCGAGACAGGGCUGGCACGGCUCACGCUGUCCGGUGCUCAGAAAACCGGUAAUCGCGGGCCCGAGGCGCUGCUCGCCGCCGUUUUUUGGCCCUGGGUUCCGUCGAGUGGAUCCAGCUUGUCAGUCUUUGUGUAGAUUUGGCUGCGUUCGCUCCGCACUUCGGAGGAGGUGGCGUUUCAUGGGAAGAAAUGCGCUCUAGCAGAUGGCCGCCGUGGCCAGUCAGCCCUGCUGCCACCGACGAAGACGCGGGCGACAGACCUGGACUCUAAAGAAAUCUGCACAGACGUGCCCGGCGCCCUCGGCCUUCCCAGCUCCGCGGCCGCAGCGACGCCGGUUAGGAUGUCGGCCCUGUGGGAGGGGCGCCCUUCCUGGUGCCGGGCCCUAACCCACGACCUGGAACAGCAGCUGGCCCGUGGCAAAUGCUGAGCAUAUCUCCUGAAAGAAUGGCUUCGCCGGUCCCUAGAGAAUGCACCCGAGUUUUGUGGUAUAUACACAUACGUACUUUUUUUCCAAGUAUAUUUUAUUUCUUGGCAAACAUGGCCCUUUGUGAUCGCUGUGUUUCUCUCCUCCCAUCCAUUAUACAACACUAAGUGAUUCAUCAUUCUUUGAACAAAUCAAACUGUUUCACACCUGCCAUGCAUUUGUACCGACCGUGCUCUUCCCUCUACUGCCGCAGCCCCCCAGGUAGAAGUCCUUUUUAUACUUCAAAAAUUCCCACCCAGGCAAAUUUCAAGCACCUUACCCCUACCCCAUCCCACUCUGCCCAUCUCUAAUUGCGCUGGUCUGAACCCGCACAAAUGUCUGUGUAGUUUCUGCACUUCAUAACAGCUUAUAUGACAGUUGCUCCAGCCAUUCUGUGAACCCCUGAGGGGAAGGGCCAGGUCUUGCUAGUCAUUUUAUUUCUAAUGUCUAUCAUCUGGUAGAUGUUUAAUAAAUGCUAAGUUGAAUAAUUCUAUCUUA
Molecule: long non-coding RNA, 1090 nt
Organism: Homo sapiens (human)
Lineage: Eukaryota; Metazoa; Chordata; Mammalia; Primates; Hominidae
Source: Ensembl